This 374-nucleotide ribosomal RNA is filed under the name uncultured organism. RNAcentral's name for it is "partial 16S ribosomal RNA". It matches the Rfam family "Bacterial small subunit ribosomal RNA", at positions 527 to 896 of the family's 1533-position model. The record is from RNAcentral.
GUAGGUGGCAAGCGUUGUCCGGAAUUAUUGGGCGUAAAGCGCGCGCAGGCGGUUCUUUAAGUCUGAUGUGAAAGCCCACGGCUCAACCGUGGAGGGUCACUGGAAACUGGAGAACUUGAGUACAGAAGAGGAAAGCGGAGUUCCACGUGUAGCGGUGAAAUGCGUAGAGAUGUGGAGGAACACCAGUGGCGAAGGCGGCUUUCUGGUCUGUAACUGACGCUGAGGCGCGAAAGCGUGGGGAGCAAACAGGGAUUAGAUACCCUGGUAGUCCACGCCGUAAACGAUGAGUGCUAAGUGUUAGGGGGGUUUCCGCCCCCUUAGUGCUGCAGCUAACGCAUUAAGCACUCCGCCUGGGGAGUACGGCCGCAAGGCUG